GAUGAACGCUGGCGGCGUGCCUAAUACAUGCAAGUCGAGCGAACGGACGAGAAGCUUGCUUCUCUGAUGUUAGCGGCGGACGGGUGAGUAACACGUGGAUAACCUACCUAUAAGACUGGGAUAACUUCGGGAAACCGGAGCUAAUACCGGAUAAUAUUUUGAACCGCAUGGUUCAAAAGUGAAAGACGGUCUUGCUGUCACUUAUAGAUGGAUCCGCGCUGCAUUAGCUAGUUGGUAAGGUAACGGCUUACCAAGGCAACGAUGCAGCCGACCUGAGAGGGUGAUCGGCCACACUGGAACUGAGACACGGUCCAGGCUCCUACGGGAGGCAGCAGUAGGGAAUCUUCCGCAAUGGGCGAAAGCCUGACGGAGCAACGCCGCGUGAGUGAUGAAGGUCUUCGGAUCGUAAAACUCUGUUAUUAGGGAAGAACAUAUGUGUAAGUAACUGUGCACAUCUUGACGGUACCUAAUCAGAAAGCCACGGCUAACUACGUG
Molecule: ribosomal RNA, 495 nt
Filed under: uncultured bacterium
Lineage: Bacteria
Description: partial 16S ribosomal RNA
Rfam family: Bacterial small subunit ribosomal RNA
Source: RNAcentral